This 253-nucleotide ribosomal RNA is filed under the name uncultured bacterium. Its description in RNAcentral is "partial 16S ribosomal RNA". It matches the Rfam family "Bacterial small subunit ribosomal RNA", at positions 524 to 776 of the family's 1533-position model. The record is from RNAcentral.
UACGUAGGUGGCAAGCGUUGUCCGGAAUUAUUGGGCGUAAAGCGCGCGCAGGCGGUUUCUUAAGUCUGAUGUGAAAGCCCCCGGCUCAACCGGGGAGGGUCAUUGGAAACUGGGAAACUUGAGUGCAGAGGAGGAAAGUGGAAUUCCAAGUGUAGCGGUGAAAUGCGUAGAGAUUUGGAGGAACACCAGUGGCGAAGGCGACUUUCUGGUCUGUAACUGACGCUGAGGCGCGAAAGCGUGGGGAGCAAACAGG